This 246-nucleotide long non-coding RNA is filed under the name Mytilus galloprovincialis (Mediterranean mussel). Lineage: Eukaryota; Metazoa; Mollusca; Bivalvia; Mytilida; Mytilidae. The record is from RNAcentral.
GAAAACUAACGGCCUUAUUUAUGUAAAAAAAUGAACGAAAAACAAAUAUGUAACACAUAAACAAACGACAACCACUAAAUAUACAGGCUCCUGACUUGGGACAGGCACAUACAUAAAUAAUGUGGCGGGGUUAAACAUGUUAGCGGGAUCCCAACCCUCCCCCUAACCUGGGACAGUGGUAUAACAGUACAACAUAAGAACGAACUAUAAACAUCAGUUGAAAAAGGCUUAACUCAUCAGAUGGAC